This 77-nucleotide transfer RNA is filed under the name Niabella ginsenosidivorans. Its description in RNAcentral is "tRNA-Met". It matches the Rfam family "tRNA". Rfam says of the family: Transfer RNA (tRNA) molecules are approximately 80 nucleotides in length. The record is from RNAcentral. Lineage: Bacteria; Pseudomonadati; Bacteroidota; Chitinophagia; Chitinophagales; Chitinophagaceae.
GGCGAGGUAGCUCAGUUGGUUAGAGCGCAGGAUUCAUAACCCUGAGGUGAUGGGUUCAAUUCCCAUCCUCGCUACGA